AAGUCGUAACAAGGUAACCGUAGGUGAACCUGCGGUUGGAUCAUUAUAAAUUUUUUUAUAAUAUUAUAGUAAGUAUUAUUAUUAGAAUUAUAAAUAAUUUUUGCUCCUUUUUAUUAAAAAAAGUUUUUUGAGCGAAAGUUUUUUAUUAUUUUAUAAUAAUCUUCUAUAAUAAAAACACUAUGUGCACUAUAAUAGUUUUUUGGGUAUUAUACUUUUUUAAAGUAUAUACCCAGUUAUAUAUUAAACCUUAAUUUUACAAUAAGUCUGACGUUUUUCAUAUAAUUGAAAUAUAUAAAAACAACUUUUGACAACGGAUCUCUUGGCUCUC
This 328-nucleotide unclassified non-coding RNA is filed under the name Rhizophydium sp. RNAcentral's name for it is "partial internal transcribed spacer region". The stretch from base 1 to 46 matches the Rfam family "Eukaryotic small subunit ribosomal RNA", at positions 1786 to 1831 of the family's 1831-position model. Lineage: Eukaryota; Fungi; Chytridiomycota; Chytridiomycetes; Rhizophydiales; Rhizophydiaceae. The record is from RNAcentral.